UACAGAGGGUGCAAGCGUUAAUCGGAAUUACUGGGCGUAAAGGGUGCGUAGGUGGUUAAUUAAGUCAGAUGUGAAAUCCCCAGGCUUAACCUGGGAAUUGCGUUUGAAACUGAAUAACUAGAGUAUGGUAGAGGGAAGUGGAAUUUCCGGUGUAGCGGUGAAAUGCGUAGAUAUCGGAAGGAACAUCAGUGGCGAAGGCGACUUCCUGGACCAUUACUGACACUGAGGCACGAAAGCGUGGGGAGCGAACAGG
This 253-nucleotide ribosomal RNA is filed under the name uncultured bacterium. RNAcentral describes it as "partial 16S ribosomal RNA". It matches the Rfam family "Bacterial small subunit ribosomal RNA", at positions 524 to 776 of the family's 1533-position model. The record is from RNAcentral.